UGCCAUCAGCCGCGGUAAUACGGAGGGGGUUAGCGUUGUUCGGAAUUACUGGGCGUAAAGCGUACGUAGGCGGACUGAUCAGUCAGAGGUGAAAUCCCAGGGCUCAACCCUGGAACUGCCUUUGAUACUGUCAGUCUUGAGUUCGAGAGAGGUGAGUGGAAUUCCAAGUGUAGAGGUGAAAUUCGUAGAUAUUUGAAAGAACACCGGUGGCGAAAGCGCUCUACUGGACCAUUACUGACACUCAGAGGCGAAAGCUAGGGUAGCAAAAGGGAUUAGAUA
This 279-nucleotide ribosomal RNA is filed under the name uncultured bacterium. Its description in RNAcentral is "partial 16S ribosomal RNA". It matches the Rfam family "Bacterial small subunit ribosomal RNA", at positions 506 to 784 of the family's 1533-position model. The record is from RNAcentral.